This 582-nucleotide ribosomal RNA is filed under the name Metschnikowia gelsemii. RNAcentral describes it as "LSU rRNA". It matches the Rfam family "Eukaryotic large subunit ribosomal RNA", at positions 1 to 667 of the family's 3401-position model. Lineage: Eukaryota; Fungi; Ascomycota; Pichiomycetes; Serinales; Metschnikowiaceae. The record is from RNAcentral.
CUCAUCCCCGUAAGACUACCCGCUGAACUUAAGCAUAUCAAUAAGCGGAGGAAAAGAAACCAACAGGGAUUGCCUCAGUAACGGCGAGUGAAGCGGCAAAAGCUCAAAUUUGAAAUCCUUCGGGAAUUGUAAUUUGAAGGUGGCUCAAGCAACCCCAAAAGUUCCUAAGUCCAUUGGAAAAUGGCGCCAUAGAGGGUGAUAGCCCCGUCUGGAACACUUUUGAGGCCUAUCUUGGACCACCAAAGAGUCGAGUUGUUUGGGAAUGCAGCUCUAAGUGGGUGGUAAAUUCCAUCUAAAGCUAAAUAUUGGCGAGAGACCGAUAGCGAACAAGUACAGUGAUGGAAAGAUGAAAAGCACUUUGAAAAGAGAGUGAAAAAGUACGUGAAAUUGUUGAAAGGGAAGGGCUUGCAAGCAGACACAACUUUUUGUUGGGCCAGCAUCGGGGCGAGGGGGGUCAAAAAUGCAUGGGAAUGUAGCUCAUUGAGUAUUAUAUCCCAUGUUUCAUCCCCAUCUCAUCCCGAGGCCUGCGAUUCUAGGAUGCUGGCGUAAUGGUUGCAAGUCGCCCGUCUUGAAACACGGACC